This 443-nucleotide ribosomal RNA is filed under the name uncultured bacterium. Its description in RNAcentral is "partial 16S ribosomal RNA". It matches the Rfam family "Bacterial small subunit ribosomal RNA", at positions 338 to 795 of the family's 1533-position model. The record is from RNAcentral.
CCUACGGGUGGCAGCAGUGGGGAAUAUUGGGCAAUGGGCGCAAGCCUGAUCCAGCAACGCCGCGUGAAGGAAGAAGGCUUUCGGGUUGUAAACUUCUUUUCUGAGGGACCAAGAAAGUGACGGUACCUCAGGAAUAAGCCACGGCUAACUACGUGCCAGCAGCCGCGGUAAUACGUAGGGGGCGAGCGUUAUCCGGAAUUACUGGGUGUAAAGGGAGUGUAGACGGCGAGGUAAGCCUGAAGGGGAAGCCCUGGGCCCAACCGCGGGACUGCUUUGGGAACUGUUUUGCUGGAGUAUGGGAGGGGUAAGCGGAAUUCCUGGUGUAGCGGUGAAAUGCGUAGAUAUCAGGAAGAACACCGGUGGCGAAGGCGGCUUACUGGACCAUAACUGACGUUGAGGCUCGAAAGCGUGGGGAGCGAACAGGAUUAGAUACCCCGGUAGUC